Molecule: ribosomal RNA, 301 nt
Filed under: uncultured bacterium
Lineage: Bacteria
Description: partial 16S ribosomal RNA
Rfam family: Bacterial small subunit ribosomal RNA
Source: RNAcentral
CAGUCGCCACGGGAAUACGAAGGGUGCAAGCGUUAAUCGGAAUUACUGGGCGUAAAGCGCGCGUAGGUGGUUUGGUAAGAUGGAUGUGAAAUCCCCGGGCUCAACCUGGGAACUGCAUCCAUAACUGCCUGACUAGAGUACGGUAGAGGGUGGUGGAAUUUCCUGUGUAGCGGUGAAAUGCGUAGAUAUAGGAAGGAACACCAGUGGCGAAGGCGACCACCUGGACUGAUACUGACACUGAGGUGCGAAAGCGUGGGGAGCAAACAGGAUUAGAUACCCGCGUAGUCCCUGUCUCUUAUAC